GCUGGGAUUACAGGCAUGUGCCAUGGUACCCGGCCUUUUUAUUCUAAUUUUAAUAGAUGACCUAGUAUGUCAGCACCAGUUUUGAACUCAUCCUUUCUCCACUGAUCUCUAACAGUCGCUUUUUCAUAUACUAAGUUUGCCUACAUAUAUUAUGUACUCACUUUUAUUUACAUUUAGGAAAUUUUCUGUAUCAGCAAAAAUCCCUGAAACCAAAUGGUGCCAGAAGUGUUGUGUUGUAAGAAAUCCUUACACGGGCCAUAAAUACCUAUGUGGAGCACUUCAGACUAGCAUUGUUCUAUUAGAAUGGGUUGAACCAAUGCAGAAAUUUAUGUUAAUUAAGCACAUAGAUUUUCCUAUACCGUGUCCACUUAGAAUGUUUGAAAUGCUGGUAGUUCCUGAACAGGAGUACCCUUUAGUUUGUGUUGGU
Molecule: small RNA, 427 nt
Filed under: Pongo abelii (Sumatran orangutan)
Lineage: Eukaryota; Metazoa; Chordata; Mammalia; Primates; Hominidae
Description: retained intron
Source: RNAcentral